CCUACGGGAGGCUGCAGUGAGGAAUAUUGGUCAAUGGGCGCGAGCCUGAACCAGCCAAGUAGCGUGAGGGAUGAAGGCUCUAUGGAUCGUAAACUUCUUUUAUAAGGGAAUAAAGUGUGGGACGUGUGCUAUUUUGUAUGUACCUUAUGAAUAAGGAUCGGCUAACUCCGUGCCAGCAGCCGCGGUAAUACGGAGGAUCCGAGCGUUAUCCGGAUUUAUUGGGUUUAAAGGGUGCGUAGGCGGCUUUUUAAGUCAGUGGUGAAAGUGUGGGGCUCAACCGUAGAAUUGCCGUUGAAACUGGUGGGCUUGAGUAUGUUUGAGGCAGGCGGAAUGCGUGGUGUAGCGGUGAAAUGCUUAGAUA
RNAcentral lists this ribosomal RNA (361 nucleotides) under uncultured bacterium. RNAcentral describes it as "partial 16S ribosomal RNA". It matches the Rfam family "Bacterial small subunit ribosomal RNA", at positions 338 to 696 of the family's 1533-position model. The record is from RNAcentral.